Molecule: ribosomal RNA, 511 nt
Filed under: Colletotrichum dematium
Lineage: Eukaryota; Fungi; Ascomycota; Sordariomycetes; Glomerellales; Glomerellaceae
Description: eukaryotic LSU rRNA
Rfam family: 5.8S ribosomal RNA (bases 156-309)
Source: RNAcentral
CCACGGAAGAGUCUGUCUGAGUCGCUCUCUCUACCUCGGUGACAUACCAAUUGUUGCCUCGGCGGAGGGGGAGUGGGGGGGCGGGACGGCCCGGCGGAGGACCCCUAAACUCUGUUUCUAUAUGUAACUUCUGAAUAAAACCAUAAAUAAAUCAAAACUUUCAACAACGGAUCUCUUGGUUCUGGCAUCGAUGAAGAACGCAAUUUAAUGCGAUAAGUAAUGUGAAUUGCAGAAUUCAGUGAAUCAUCGAAUCUUUGAACGCACAUUGCGCCCGCCAUUAUUCUGGCGGGCGUGCCUGUUCGAGCGUCAUUUCAACCCUCAAGCACCGGUUGGUGUUGGGACUCGCGUUAAUUCGCGUUCCUCAAAUUGAUUGGCGGUCACGUCGAGCUUCCAUAACGGAGUAGUAAAACCCUCCCUACUGCUCAUCGUCGCGGCCACGCCGUUAAACCCCAACUUCUGAAUGUUGACCUCGGAUCAAGUAGGAAUACCCGUUGAACUUUGACAUCUCAUA